Molecule: ribosomal RNA, 253 nt
Filed under: uncultured bacterium
Lineage: Bacteria
Description: partial 16S ribosomal RNA
Rfam family: Bacterial small subunit ribosomal RNA
Source: RNAcentral
UACGGAGGGGGCUAGCGUUGUUCGGAAUUACUGGGCGUAAAGCGCACGUAGGCGGCUUUGCAAGUUAGAGGUGAAAGCCCGGGGCUCAACCCCGGAAUUGCCUUUAAAACUGCAUCGCUAGAAUUGUGGAGAGGUAAGUGGAAUUCCGAGUGUAGAGGUGAAAUUCGUAGAUAUUCGGAAGAACACCAGUGGCGAAGGCGGCUCACUGGACCGGCAUUGACGCUGAGGUGCGAAAGCGUGGGGAGCAAACAGG